RNAcentral lists this ribosomal RNA (1469 nucleotides) under Salmonella enterica subsp. enterica serovar Choleraesuis str. CFSAN000515. RNAcentral describes it as "partial 23S ribosomal RNA". It matches the Rfam family "Bacterial large subunit ribosomal RNA", at positions 87 to 1596 of the family's 2925-position model. Lineage: Bacteria; Pseudomonadati; Pseudomonadota; Gammaproteobacteria; Enterobacterales; Enterobacteriaceae. The record is from RNAcentral.
GAUAUGAACCGUUAUAACCGGCGAUACCCGAAUGGGGAAACCCAGUGUGACUCGUCACACUAUCAUUAACUGAAUCCAUAGGUUAAUGAGGCGAACCGGGGGAACUGAAACAUCUAAGUACCCCGAGGAAAAGAAAUCAACCGAGAUUCCCCCAGUAGCGGCGAGCGAACGGGGAGGAGCCCAGAGCCUGAAUCAGCAUGUGUGUUAGUGGAAGCGUCUGGAAAGGCGCGCGAUACAGGGUGACAGCCCCGUACACAAAAGCGCAUGUGCUGUGAGCUCGAUGAGUAGGGCGGGACACGUGGUAUCCUGUCUGAAUAUGGGGGGACCAUCCUCCAAGGCUAAAUACUCCUGACUGACCGAUAGUGAACCAGUACCGUGAGGGAAAGGCGAAAAGAACCCCGGCGAGGGGAGUGAAAAAGAACCUGAAACCGUGUACGUACAAGCAGUGGGAGCACAGGUUUACCUGUGUGACUGCGUACCUUUUGUAUAAUGGGUCAGCGACUUAUAUUCUGUAGCAAGGUUAACCGUAUAGGGGAGCCGUAGGGAAACCGAGUCUUAACCGGGCGUUAAGUUGCAGGGUAUAGACCCGAAACCCGGUGAUCUAGCCAUGGGCAGGUUGAAGGUUGGGUAACACUAACUGGAGGACCGAACCGACUAAUGUUGAAAAAUUAGCGGAUGACCUGUGGCUGGGGGUGAAAGGCCAAUCAAACCGGGAGAUAGCUGGUUCUCCCCGAAAGCUAUUUAGGUAGCGCCUCGUGAAUUCAUCUCCGGGGGUAGAGCACUGUUUCGGCUAGGGGGCCAUCCCGGCUUACCAACCCGAUGCAAACUGCGAAUACCGGAGAAUGUUAUCACGGGAGACACACGGCGGGUGCUAACGUCCGUCGUGAAGAGGGAAACAACCCAGACCGCCAGCUAAGGUCCCAAAGUCAUGGUUAAGUGGGAAACGAUGUGGGAAGGCCCAGACAGCCAGGAUGUUGGCUUAGAAGCAGCCAUCAUUUAAAGAAAGCGUAAUAGCUCACUGGUCGAGUCGGCCUGCGCGGAAGAUGUAACGGGGCUAAACCAUGCACCGAAGCUGCGGCAGCGACGCUGAUGCGUUGUUGGGUAGGGGAGCGUUCUGUAAGCCUGUGAAGGUGGCCUGUGAGGGUUGCUGGAGGUAUCAGAAGUGCGAAUGCUGACAUAAGUAACGAUAAAGCGGGUGAAAAGCCCGCUCGCCGGAAGACCAAGGGUUCCUGUCCAACGUUAAUCGGGGCAGGGUGAGUCGACCCCUAAGGCGAGGCCGAAAGGCGUAGUCGAUGGGAAACGGGUUAAUAUUCCCGUACUUGGUGUUACUGCGAAGGGGGGACGGAGAAGGCUAUGUUGGCCGGGCGACGGUUGUCCCGGUUUAAGCGUGUAGGUGUGUGUUCCAGGUAAAUCCGGUUCACUUUAACACUGAGGCGUGAUGACGAGGCACUACGGUGCUGAAGCAACAA